UCACCCCUCAAGCCCCGUGCUUGGUGUUGGACGGCUUGGUCGAGCUUCGCGCUCGACCCCUCCCAAAGACAAUGACGGCGGCCUGUGGCUCCCCCGGCACACUGAGCUUCUCACCGAGCACGUGUCGGAUCGCGGGCGUCCAGGUCCCGGUCGGCUUUUUCUUGCCCCUGUGCAGGGAAAAAUUAUUUUUACAA
RNAcentral lists this unclassified non-coding RNA (194 nucleotides) under uncultured Cladophialophora. RNAcentral describes it as "sequence contains ITS2". The record is from RNAcentral. Lineage: Eukaryota; Fungi; Ascomycota; Eurotiomycetes; Chaetothyriales; Herpotrichiellaceae.